RNAcentral lists this transfer RNA (70 nucleotides) under Dipodomys ordii (Ord's kangaroo rat). It matches the Rfam family "tRNA". Rfam says of the family: Transfer RNA (tRNA) molecules are approximately 80 nucleotides in length. The record is from Rfam by way of RNAcentral. Lineage: Eukaryota; Metazoa; Chordata; Mammalia; Rodentia; Heteromyidae.
GGAAAUGCAACUUAAUGGUAGAGUGCUUGUCUAGCAUGCAUGAUGUCCUGGGUUCAAUUCCCCAGUACCA